UACGAAGGGGGCUAGCGUUGCUCGGAAUCACUGGGCGUAAAGCGCACGUAGGCGGCUUUCUAAGUCAGGGGUGAAAUCCUGGAGCUCAACUCCAGAACUGCCUUUGAUACUGGAGAGCUUGAGUCCGGGAGAGGUGAGUGGAACUCCGAGUGUAGAGGUGAAAUUCGUAGAUAUUCAGAAGAACACCAGUGGCGAAGGCGGCUCACUGGCCCGGUACUGACGCUGAUGUGCGAAAGCGUGGGGAGCAAACAGG
This 253-nucleotide ribosomal RNA is filed under the name uncultured bacterium. RNAcentral's name for it is "partial 16S ribosomal RNA". It matches the Rfam family "Bacterial small subunit ribosomal RNA", at positions 524 to 776 of the family's 1533-position model. The record is from RNAcentral.